AGUCUUUCUCUCUUAUUCCCCAGAUUAUAUGCAAUGGUAUAUGGCAAGGAAUAAUUUUGUUCAAGAUAACUAUCAAAUGUGUCUUACUAUAAAUGAAGCAGGAAGUGGCCCGGGAAAAUAUAAUCAUGAUGACAUACAAAGAGUUACUAUGAAUCUGCAGUUGGCUUUCUCUCCUAGAGAGAAGUGUUGGUAUGAACUGGCUAUAGUUCAUAUAAGUGAUGGCAUAACUAAGAAGAGUCAACAUUGAGUAAAAUAUGCUGCUGAUGUUAUGGUUGCCAAAAAAUUUUAUACUGUAAAGUGACUAAAAGGAGGAAGUGGAGUAGAUGAAGAUGUACAUGUGCCCUGCUUGAAAUUUACAGUACAUAUUAAUAGAGAGAAGCAGAGUUAAGAAAUGACAGUACUGAGGGUAAACUGAGGUGUGGCUUUAUUGGUUGUUGAUCAAUUGAAGAGGAUUUAACUCAUUAUAGGUAGAGUAAAAUGACCUUAUUGAAAUAAUAGUGAAGUAGGUGUUCAUAAUAUCCAGCCUAUUGUCAUUGUACCUUAUAUACCUUACAAUGUUCAAGGUAUGCUGUGUUUGUAUACGUGUACAUGUACAUUAUUGCUUGUUUUUACAACUAUGUACUUAGAUCUACUAUAUGCAAUGAACCUUAAUAUACAUAUACUAGUAACUAUUACCAUAAAUCUUCUAAAUAUUCAACAUUCUAACUUCGUCAAAUAAAUAUUUUUUCCCAAAUUUUCACAAUAUUACUUCUAAUUAUUCGAUUAUGCAAAAUUACUGGCUGAGUAUUCUAAUUUCGACAUAAUCCUCUUAUUUCAGCACAUGAUUGACCACGUGCUUCAGUCUACCUUACCAAGCAGCUGAGACUUUAGAAUGACCCUCCCUCCAAUUUAGUCAAUAAAAAUUAUUUAAAAGUAAAAAAAAAAACAUUUUUAACCUCUAAUUUUUCAAUAUUAAUAAUUUUAAGGUGAAUUUAAUUUGCCGAAUUUUUAGAAGAUUUACAGUAUACUAUUUUGUCACUUGGACUUGGCCUGAAUCUAUUUGGCUCUGGGCUACAUGUGUAGGCUCUGUAUUAGUAAUUAAUUUUCACGCACUUAACUGAUCAUACUAUUAUUGUUAAAGAUAAUACAUAUUUCAUUUAACUGUUGAAAGUAAAUUUAAUGCACAUACAUGUUACUGAAAAACAUAAUGUAGCUCUACUAAUUACUUUACUCUUUAUU
Long non-coding RNA from Amphimedon queenslandica, 1218 nucleotides. RefSeq lists it as uncharacterized. The record is from RefSeq and is a predicted model, not a curated record. Lineage: Eukaryota; Metazoa; Porifera; Demospongiae; Haplosclerida; Niphatidae. The transcript is spliced from 5 exons.